UAGAUCGUCGCUCAGUGGAAGAGCGGUGGGGCGGUAGCCCAUGCGGCCCGGGUUCGAGCCCCGGUGAUGUAU
Molecule: non-coding RNA, 72 nt
Organism: Phthorimaea operculella (potato tuberworm)
Lineage: Eukaryota; Metazoa; Arthropoda; Insecta; Lepidoptera; Gelechiidae
Source: the annotation of a GenBank genome assembly